AUUGCCCUAGUAACGGCGAGUGAAGCGGCAACAGCUCAAAUUUGAAAUCUGGCCUCCUUUGGGGGUCCGAGUUGUAAUUUGCAGAGGGUGCUUUGGCGUCGGCAGCGGUCUAAGUUCCUUGGAACAGGACAUCACAGAGGGUGAGAAUCCCGUACGUGGUCGCCUGCCUUCGCCGUGUAAAGCCCCUUCGACGAGUCGAGUUGUUUGGGAAUGCAGCUCUAAAUGGGAGGUAAAUUUCUUCUAAAGCUAAAUACCGGCCAGAGACCGAUAGCGCACAAGUAGAGUGAUCGAAAGAUGAAAAGCACUUUGGAAAGAGAGUCAAACAGCACGUGAAAUUGUUGAAAGGGAAGCGCUUGCAGCCAGACUUGCUCGUAGUUGCUCAUCCGGGUCCGCCCGGAGCACUCUUCUGCGAGCAGGCCAGCAUCAGUUUGGGCGACCGGAUAAAGGCCUCUGUCAUGUAUCUUCCUUCGGGAUGACCUUAUAGGGGAGGCGUAAUGCGGCCAGCCCGGACUGAGGUCCGCGCUUCUGCUAGGAUGCUGGCGUAAUGGCUGUAAGCGGCCCGUCUUGAAACACGGACCAAGGAGUCUAACAUCUAUGCGAGUGUUUGGGUGUCAAGCCCGGGCGCGUAAUGAAAGUGAACGGAGGUGGGAACCCUCUCCGGGGGGUGCACCAUCGACCGAUCCUGAUGUCUUCGGAUGGAUUUGAGUAAGAGCAUAGCUGUUGGGACCCGAAAGAUGGUGAACUAUGCUUGAAUAGGGUGAAGCCAGAGGAAACUCUGGUGGAGGCUCGCAGCGGUUCUGACGUGCAAAUCGAUCGUCAAAUUUGGGCAUAGGGGCGAAAGACUAAUCGAACUAUCUAGUAGCUGGUUCCUGCCGAAGUUUCCCUCAGGAUAGCAGUAACGUAUUCAGUUUUAUGAGGUAAAGCGAAUGAUUAGAGGCCUGGGGGUUGAAACAACCUUCACCUAUUCUCAAACUUUAAAUAUGUAAGAAGUCCUUGUUACUUGAUUGAACGUGGACAUUUGAAUGUACCGUUACUAGUGGGCCAUUUUUGGUAAGCAGAACUGGCGAUGCGGGAUGAACCGAACGCGGGGUUAAGGUGCCAGAAUGCACGCUCAUCA
RNAcentral lists this ribosomal RNA (1117 nucleotides) under Keissleriella sp. Its description in RNAcentral is "partial large subunit ribosomal RNA". It matches the Rfam family "Eukaryotic large subunit ribosomal RNA", at positions 74 to 1207 of the family's 3401-position model. The record is from RNAcentral. Lineage: Eukaryota; Fungi; Ascomycota; Dothideomycetes; Pleosporales; Lentitheciaceae.